Molecule: long non-coding RNA, 5543 nt
Organism: Hipposideros armiger (great roundleaf bat)
Lineage: Eukaryota; Metazoa; Chordata; Mammalia; Chiroptera; Hipposideridae
Exons: 2
Source: RefSeq, a predicted model, not a curated record
CCGCAGCGAGUCCAGCAGCCGAGCAGCUGCGGCCCCGGAGCCUCGGGCGCGGCGGGCGGGGGGCGCGGGGCGCCGAUUGGAGCCCGCGCGUCAGCUGGGGCCGCCGUCUGGACGCUUAAAGGGCCAGGCCGCCCAACGUGCCGGCGGGGGGCGCGGACACGUGUGGUGUGCGGCGUCCCGGAGCCGCCAGCUCUGCCUCGGGCCGCCGGGGCCCUCAGCCAGGCUCCGCUGCUCCCAUCCAAGCGGAUGGGCCCCGGCCUCACUCUCCUGCACCGAGCCCCUUUCUGCCGCCGGAAAGUUCGUCCCAGAGUCUAACCUCGGUGCCCUCCAGCUGCGCGACAGAGGCGGGGUCGGAGAAGGAGGCGGCCCUGCGAUGGAGAAGCUGGGUGCACCCGCGCUCCAACCAGCUUCAAGAAAGGCUUCUCUACCUGCUCCCCUGAGUGACCCCACAUUGAGGAACCUGACGGCACCCUAGAUGCUCUCACCACCCCCACCCUCUGGCCUGGGCUGCUCUGACCUUAGGGACUUAGUCCUGGUAGACCCAUACCUACCUGGUGGCCUUUCUGGCUGCACAGGUCCGCCCAGGGCAGAAGACACAAGAACCCAGACCACAGCUGCAAUGAUCAAGUCUGCGACCAAAAGCAGGAGAAGAGGAGCAGGGGCCAGAGGCCCAGGCCUCACUGCGCCCCCAGCCGUGUGACCUGACGGCUGCUCCGGAGCCUCCCCACUCAGUCUCUGCUGGGAAGAUGCAGCCAGGCCUGCGGAAUGCUGCUCUGGCAUGGACACCAGUGGGGGCAGGGGGCUGGCUGUGCUGGCAGGAGGCUACAAAGGAACACUGCCAGGCUGAGCAGGCAGCAGAGUGGGGGACCACAGUGUGCUGGGCCUGGCAGGACCCAGGUGGUGGCUGGGCCACCUCUAUGGAUAGGGGGCCUCUGUGGGUCUCAUGUGGCCGUGUCAUCCUUAACCCCACCCCCACCCCACCCACCCCAAACUGACUGCUACCGCAUAUUGGGUCACUCUCCCAUUGCCCCCGUUCUAAGAGUACCACACAGUACACCUCACUCCUCCCCACACACAUGCACUCGCACUUACCAGCCAUGCCUAGCUGUAGCGGUUAUCUCCUGGGUAUGCCACCUUACUUGUGCCUGGGCAGGGAGGGACUCUGGGGCCUUUUCAGAGUGACUUGGUCUGGAUGCCAGGGGGAGAAUGGAGCAGAGGCCAAGAUCCCAGGCAGGCACCAUCCUAUAGUCCGAUGGUCUGACCUGUAAGAUCGCAAGGGCCUUCCCUGAGGCCAGGAUGGGGAGGCCCUCAUGGUGAGGCCAUCCUAGAGCCAAGGGGAAAACACCUCAGGGGCAAAGAUGGGGGUGAUCAAAGCGUGCCAGAGGAAGGGGAGGAAUGUACACAGCCAGAUGGAGGCUGAGCAGAGACCUUGGUGGAAAAAGAGAUGGGAAGAGGGAAAGGGGCACACGUGGGGCCAGGCCCCCCGAGGCAGCCACUGCAGACAUUCUGCACGUCUGUGGCCAUGGUGGGUUUGUAGACAGCUGGCUCAGUUCCCAGAGGUCUCGGGCUGAGGCCAGGCCAGAGUGGCCCACAUGCCUCACCAGCCAGUCACCUCAGGGCUGCCCUCUAUCUUCCUCCCAACCCACUUCCUCAUCUGACUCAGUGGAUCCCUGCACCAGCCUGGGGGGUGGCAAGGGAGGGAUUGUGUACCCUUUGGUUGGAUAAGGCCCAGAGCAGGACAAAUCGCAUGGCCAGGCACCAGCGUCAGGAGCCAGAGAAAGGGGAGGCUGGGAGAGAGUGGCCUCCCCCACAGGCUGGGAGGAGCCUGGCAGAGAGGACCCUCCUGGACCCACUUCCCAGCCAAGGCUUGGUGGGGGGCUGUGGCCAGUGUGACUCAGGUAGGGCUGCUGGUCCCUUUGAGACUGGCCUUGACUGCAGCAGUCAAGCCAAAGGAGGGGCUGAAGGUUGGGUGAGAAGAGGGUAUGGGCUGUCUCCGUCUUACUUAUCUGGCCUACAGCCCAUCUGCUGGGGGAGCCCCAGGCAGGGCCUGAGCUCUGUGAGAAGCUAUGGCAGGAAGGGGCUGUUUGAAGAGCUCAAUCUGGUGGGCUCAAAUGGGGCUGCUCAGAGCUGAGGCCCAUCAGCUAGAGCAGAAGGGCACUUGAGGCAGAGAGAAUAGCACUCCAAGGGCCUGGAGGCAGGGGGCAGUUUAACAUCUGUAGGGAACUAGGGUCAUUUGAUGUAGUGGAGUCGAGAUUCUUGUCAGGUGUGAGUGCCUGGCCUGAUGGAGAGCGGGAGAAUUGCUCUCUGGGCCUUGGCGAGAGCCAUGCUAUGGGGCUUUCACCUCAUGCUUGGUCACGGCAGGCGUGACCAAGGCUGGAGGGGGAAUCUUAGGCCAGAAUGGCAUGUCCCAGUGGGGAACCAGGAGUUUGUGAAGGCCAGGUCCUGCAGACACUUGGGGCUGAGUGCUGGAAGGUCAGCAGCCAUGCCCCUGCCUCUAGGAGACAACUCACAGGCUUUCUGACAAGUUCCCUAAGCAUCUAGCCCCAAGUUUCUCUCCCAUGUCAGGGAGGAGGAACAGACUCAAACAAGCAGUCCCCAGGCUUGGUUGGGGAACCCAGACUCACCCCUACUGAACCUGGAAAGACCAGCACAGGCCAAGGGUGAGGGGGUGGGGGCAGUGCAGGGCUCAGCCUUCCUGGGGGGCAUGGAGCUGUGCAGAUGCUGUAGCUGAGAUGGGGAAAGGAGAGAGCACAAUGGCCAGUGCCAGAAAACAGAAGGUGACGAUACAGCAUGGGGUGGAUGGGGUGGCAGGGAAAUUCACGCUCCCCCCCAGGUGCUGACCCAUGGCCCUGCAGGGCGGACAGCAGCAUAGAUCUCUGGGUGUGGGGCUGUGGGGAGGAAGUGUUGCUCCUGUUCUGCUGAGCUCAGCAUUAAUAGGCUACAGCUGCUGGGGGGUUGGGGCCUAAUUCAAACCAGCAGGUUGCCUGGUUCCCUCCUGAAGCACAAACGUCAUGGCCUUGGCAUUCGAGGCCUCCUUGUCCGGGAUCCUCUCCCACUCUGUUGGUUCAAGGGACCCCCGGGCUCUCAUUUGUGAUUGAGCCCAGCCCUCCACAUGAACCCCUGGGGGGGCCAGCGGCCCUUAACUACGUUGAUAUGUGCUGGUUCGAAGCAUUUAAUCCUCACCAGUUCUUGGAGGGAGGCCUCAGUAUCCCGGCUCUUCAGAUGAGAAUUAUAAAGGCCAAGAAAUGUAUCCCAAGUUACCCAACUUUAGGAAGUGGCAGAGCAGAACUUGAACCCAGGCAUUCUGUUUCUGGCCCCAAGCCCUUAAGGACACAACUAAUUGCUCACAGAGGUUAUUUCUUCAAAUUGGGGCAGAGGCAUGAAGGCCAGUGGGAUUCUCUCUCUGGGAAUCUGGCGUAGUGGCACAUGAGUUGCAGGAGGCCCUGCGUGAUCCGGGGCCGAAGUGCCAGCCCAACCUCCUGUCCCCUGUGGGUUGCCUGGGAGGCUGACUCGGCGCUGGUCUGGUCUGAGAAGGGAUGGGCACCCCUGGUUCUCCUGUUUGGUUGCACCAGUCGUAUGCACCCUCUUUCGGGGCUUAUGAACUGAGAUGAGCAGUCCAAGGACCAUUAGCCUCGGAGAACAGAUGAGCAGAGGCCCAGGGUCAGGCCUCCAGAUGCAGGAUGCGAGUGUCUGUCCUAAGGCCUUGGGUCACUCCUUUUUUACCCCGAUGUCCUCAGGACUCGAGACUGGUUGAAGAGACGCAAUGCUCCCCAGGCCACCCUGGGUCCUGCUGGCUAUGAAACUUGGCUCAGUCUGGAGCGGGAGCUUGAUGGGCUGUCCAUGGUGCAUGGUGGGUCUGGGGCAGAAGAGCUUAGCCCCCACCUUGGCACAGCGCCCCGCCUCCCCCCCCCCACGCUUUCUGAUUCACAGGGAGAAGAGGCAGGGGCAGGGGCACACUGCCUCUUCCUACUGAAGCUUUUGAAGAAAACAGACGGUUAGACCGUGACAGCCUUCUGUCUCCUUGCCUCGCCCUCAGCAGGCAGACGAGCUGCCCAGUGUGUCCUGAGGUGAGCAGGUACUGUCCUUCAGGGCACCCAGCUCCUCUCCCUGCCACCUUUACAGCAUCCGAGUGCUCUCCCUGCCGAGCAGAGUCCUGCGGCGCUUUUCCCAGCCCCUUCCAUCUCGAGUCCCUCCUGGGACUUCAGGCUCUCCCCUAUGGGCACCAGCGGGGUUGUGCCCUCUUCUGAAAACCUGCCACUUGAGCUCAGGCUCUUCCAUCGUGAGAGGCCUGGCAUCCCCGUCUUUCACCUGGUCCCUCAGACUAACAUUCAGGGUCUGUCACUCUAAACCGAGGGAGUCUCUUGUGCCUUCCAGUGAUGUCCUGCCAGUGCUGUCAGUCGCUUGAGGGGCAUUUUCCGUGACUUCUUACCUCCUAGUCAAUGCCCUGCUAAUUCAGAACAAUUCAAGACCAAAGCCCUUGGCAGUUUCCCCCCAGUACUGCCAGCUGAUGGAACUUAUCUGUCAGAGGUGAAUCAAGAUUCUGGAGCUCACAAAAACACAAGACCUGGAAGGAAGCUUGCUUGGGGAUUUCCCCACAGCAAACAGACCUGAGUUUCCCUUCACUUUUAAAGCAAUGCAUUGAUUGGACUGCUUCUAGGAACUGCCUGACUUUGGUGGUGGUGGUGGUGCGGGGGGGCAUUCUACUGAUUGCUAAGUUUUGAAAACUAAAUCUCUGCAAGUCUUACUGUAGGAGGUUAUGUUGUAUUCACCGAGCAAAUACAAAUUCCUUUGAGUUCUGAGGAGAAAAAAGUUAAUUGUACUUGCCAGGCAAAUUCUCCUGUGGAUGCUAAAAAUAUCACCAUGACGGUUUCCUUCAGGAGUGAGUGCCCUGUGCCUGCCUGGUGAACCACUGUUAGGAGGGACGUGUGGGGGCUAUACGUGGGUUGGCAGGUGAAUGGGCUGUCCCUGGGCAGCAAUGCAUGGACAGAAUGGGACACAGUCCCUCAACCAGGACAUCAGUAUACAGGUCACAGCUCAUGACUAUAGCCAUGCCUGGGGGAGAGCUGGAGUGGGCAGGGGCCAAGCACUAUCAGUGCUUCUGUGGGUGGGUGACCAUCUCUGCCUGAAGCUUUCUCGAGCGCCAGUCACCUCGGGCCCCACCACUAACCCUCGGCUAGGCGAUGACAACGAGCCCCAGGGAGAGGAGUUCCUUCACUGGCCGGGUUAGCAGAGACCUCUUCCAUGUGGUUCCUCUUCCAUGUCAGAAAGAUGAUUUGAAGAGUAAAGAAAGCUGACAUAUACACAGACUCAGGCUUAGACUAAGUAUAUAUUUUAAUCUCUACAAGGUCCCCUUUUCAAGUUGUAGGGGAAUUUAAGUGUAUACAAAUUAGACAUUGCCGAUAUGUACAAAAGUAUUUUCUAGUUUUUAAACACCAGCUAUGUCAUGUUUCAUUUGCAGUAAACAGGACGUUACAAAACCAGUCCGAUAAUACAUUUUCUAUUAAGAAGCACAAUACACAACAUAAUUCAAUUUUAUUAAAAAA